AAUAAACGCUGGCGGCGUGCCUAACACAUGCAAGUCGCACGGGAAAGGGACUUCGGUCCCGAGUAAAGUGGCGCACGGGUGAGUAACGCGUAGGUAACCUGCCCCCCGGGGUUGGGAUAACAGGGCGAAAGCCCUGCUAAUACCGGGAUACGACGGUUCGACGGCGGUCGGAUCGUGAAAGCGGGCCGCUCCAUGGAAGCUCGCGCUCGGGGAUGGGCCUGCGUCCUAUCAGCUGGUUGGUAGGGUAACGGCCUACCAAGGCGACGACGGGUAGCUGGUCUGAGAGGAUGAUCAGCCACACUGGCACUGGAACACGGGCCAGACUCCUACGGGAGGCAGCAGUGAGGAAUUUUGCGCAAUGGCCGCAAGGCUGACGCAGCAACGCCGCGUGGGUGAUGAAGGCCUCGGGUCGUAAAGCCCUGUCGGUGGGAAGAAUGCACCCAGGGUGAAUAAUCUUGGGUAGUGACGGUACCACCAGAGGAAGCACCGGCUAACUCCGUGCCAGCAGCCGCGGUAAUACGGAGGGUGCGAGCGUUAUUCGGAAUUACUGGGCGUAAAAGCGCNUGCAGGCGGCUCGAGAAGUCUGAUGUGAAAGCCCCCGGGGCUUAAACCCGGGAAGUGCAUUGGAAACUCUCGGGCUUGAGUGGUGGAGAGG
This 655-nucleotide ribosomal RNA is filed under the name uncultured bacterium. RNAcentral's name for it is "bacterial SSU rRNA". It matches the Rfam family "Bacterial small subunit ribosomal RNA", at positions 28 to 657 of the family's 1533-position model. The record is from RNAcentral.